Long non-coding RNA from Cyprinus carpio (common carp), 758 nucleotides. RefSeq lists it as uncharacterized. NCBI's taxonomy places the organism in Eukaryota, Metazoa, Chordata, Actinopteri, Cypriniformes, Cyprinidae. The record is from RefSeq and is a predicted model, not a curated record.
GAUGUGAGAUAGCACUGUUCUAUGUGCCGAGGGCCUCUGGAUAUUUCUGAUUGGUUUAAUUUACCACAUCUAACACGGCUGCUUCUCAAGUCUGCGACUUUUAUCUAAUGCUGUGAACCUCUAUUGAUUUCUCUUCUGUAUCUUUAAUGCAGGACUGAAGCAAAGAGAGCAAAAAAAAAAAGCACUUGCUAAAUGGAGGACUACUUUGAGAUGGCUGCUAUUCUCCGGCUUAUUGCCUCCUGUCGGCCAUGGUUUCACAUGAGGUCCGAGGUGUCAGGUCCGCUUCCACCAAUAAAGGCUGUGAUUGACACUAGCGGGAGAGACUUGAGCUGGGAAAAGAAACUGAAUCUCAAUGUAUGAGGGAAAAUCUAAAAAAAAAAAAACAGCAUUGGAGGACAAAGUCAUGCUUCGGCCAUACAUCUGGAAACACUCUAAACCAACAUCCUGGUAUAAAUUUGCAAAACGCAAUACAGGCCGGAUUGUGCGCGGGACGGACGCGGGACGCAUACAAAUGGCCCCCCGUCUAAAGUACCCCCUGUUUCUCUUCAGCCUCAGAAAGUAAUGUACAAUAAAUCAACAAAAGAGCGUUAAUGCCUCCGUUGAGUAUAGGAGAGGCUUCUGUUAUUGUGCCUUUUUUUAAGUAUUUAAUUGGAAGGGUCCUUUGAAAUGUUACACGGCUCCUUCAGAUGACUUUUCCCCAAAUCUAAGAAAAGAUUGAUAAGAAUUUCUUUCCUCCCUCUCUUAAAUCUCUUCUGCAU